AUGGCCGACCCCUACCGUGCGCUAUGCUUCGGGAUGCGCUUCAACCCGACGGGCGAGCAGGCCAUUGCUCGGUACCUCGUGCCAUGGCUCCUCGACCAGCCGCUGCCUGACGCCGCCGGAAUCAUCAUCCAUGAAGCGGAGGUUUACAAGUCCGAGCCAAAGGAUCUCGCCGCCGUGUGGCCCCGCCUUCCCAACACCCACCACCGGUUCUUCUUCACCACCUGCAUCCGCCAGAAAGCAGGGACGGGCUUCAGGAUGAAGCGCACCGCCGGCGCCGGCAAGUGGGUCACGAGUGACAAGACGGAGGUGAAGAACAGCGCCGACGAGACGAUCGGAUACCACGAGAAACUUCGGUACGCGUACAAGGGGCAGAGCGGCAAGUCGGAGUGGCUCAUGGACGAGUACCACUGCCGCGGAUUCGACCAAUACGCCCUCCUCCAUGACGGCAAGGAGGAGCGCGUCCUGUGCAGGCUCUACGUCUCGCCCAACGCCAAGCCGGGAUCCCUCGCGCUUCAACAAUCUGCUGCCGCGGAUCACCUCAUGCCUCAUCACCGUAGCAUCUGCCGCGGCGUCCGUGGAAUUCAAGGACCCCCGCAGCAGCAGCUGCCGCGGCGUCCACAAGAACAGGUUGCUCUGCCUCCCGCAACCACGCAGACGCAGGCGCAGGCCGGGAUGAGGAAGCCAGCGCCACAAGUUGCUGACCGGCAGAGCCCCAUGGUUCCUGCGCCCAUGUGGUCCUCUGCCACUGCCAGUUCGAAGCCGGGAUACGUCGCGCGCCAACAGACUGCAACAGGAGAUCAUCUCCUUCGAGUUCAAGAACCCGCCAUCAUGGCCGCGCCGCGUCCACAAGCACGACCGCAGCAGGUGAUGACGAAGCCAGCGACGCCGCGCGGCCUUGAUCUUUCGUCGGGGCAGCAGCAAUGUCGCGUCACGGUUGCUGCGCCGAUGACCACGCAGCUGGCGCCCAAGAGGCCGGCACCUCCCAUUGCGGAGCCGCCGCACCCCAAGCGGAUGCGUGCUGCUGCUCUCGCUCCGGCUCACACACGUCCCGCGGUGAAGCCGGCGUCAGCAGCACCGCCGCCUCUCGCAGUGCCACCCAGACGACCCAUAGUGUCGUGGGAGCCGGCAAAGCGACCGUCCUGGUGUCCGCCGCAGCAGCCGAAUUUCCUGUCGGCGCCGCUGCCUCAGCGCCAGGCGACCAAGGACAAGGGAGCCGACCUUGGAUUAAUGGCAGAGGGCCAGAGCACGGUCCAGCAAGGAGGCCACAAGAGGACGAUCCAACAAAAGGCCUGCAACGAGGACACGGACGAGGUGUUGCCAGAGAAAGCGCAAGAUGUAGACGGCAAGAUGAUCCAACAAGAUGGCGAUGAGGAGGACGAGUUCGUGAGGUUCUUGGAUGGCGAGCUCGAAAUAGCGCCAGAGGAGACAGAAGACGUAGAAGGCAAGGCCGUCCAACAAGAUGGCGGUGAGGAGGACGAGCAGGAGGAGGGCGACGACGACUUCGCGAGGUUUUUGGAUGAGGAGCUUGAAAUAGCGCCAGAGGAGACGGAAGACGUACAAGGCAAGGCCAUCGAAGAAGAUGACGACGAGGAGGAGAGGUUAUGA
Molecule: ribosomal RNA, 1605 nt
Filed under: Triticum aestivum (bread wheat)
Lineage: Eukaryota; Viridiplantae; Streptophyta; Magnoliopsida; Poales; Poaceae
Description: partial small subunit ribosomal RNA
Source: RNAcentral